This 399-nucleotide ribosomal RNA is filed under the name Triticum aestivum (bread wheat). RNAcentral's name for it is "partial small subunit ribosomal RNA". Lineage: Eukaryota; Viridiplantae; Streptophyta; Magnoliopsida; Poales; Poaceae. The record is from RNAcentral.
AUGGCGACCGGCCGCAGCACAGUUGGAGGUGCCACCAUGGAGUCCUCUGCCGGGGACGCCGCCCAAGUGCUCGUCAAGGCCCGCUGCUCCUUCUUCCUCCUUUUCCUCAAAUUCAAGGGCAAUCAGCAGCACACGCCAUCCUCAAGGCGCAUGGUUCUUCUCUUCUCUGAUGGAUGGAUGGAUGGGUGGAUGGGUUGGUCGUGGAGGAGGAGAACGACCAGAAGAAUAGAGUCCCGUCUCUUCUCUUCUCUUCAUCAAUGCCGGCCAGGAACAACGACCCAGCCACCCCUCAAGGGAAGGUGUCUUUGUUUACUAGUACUUGAGAGGGAAUUGGAAGUAGUUUGUCAACUGAAGCUUGGUGCUGCUCGACACCAAGGAGAGGCGCAAGGGGGUGCCUAG